This is a long non-coding RNA of Dromaius novaehollandiae (emu), 2081 nucleotides long. RefSeq lists it as uncharacterized. Lineage: Eukaryota; Metazoa; Chordata; Aves; Casuariiformes; Dromaiidae. The transcript is spliced from 2 exons. The record is from RefSeq and is a predicted model, not a curated record.
UUUCUGUAACAGCUAAACUUACUAUGACGUACCCUGAGCAAAGAUCUUUUUACCUUGUCUAGCAUAGAAUAAACAAAAAAUAAAAUGUGCUAGGGUAUCUUUUUAAUUAGAGACCACUGGAUUACAGAGGAGCAAGCACAGGCACAGAAUUUUGAGAUGAAAUACAGGACUAAAGGAUGCUUUGAUGGAAUGGAUUUCCCCUGUUCUUUUUUGUGUCUGCUGGAUAUACAAGCUCUGUCAUGACCAGAAGACCGGACGUAUGAAAUUCUAGUUCAUUAAUUAUGUGAGACAGAGGAUGCAGUGGAAGCAAGUGGUAGGAAGCUGGAGGCAGACUUUGAAGGUAAUAAUGGGCAUAAAAGUGGUGAGUGGGAGACGUGACGCAUACCAGUGAACUGUGAACAAUGACAGCAAGUUGAACUGUGGCUUGGCGACCAUCCUUGUGACCGAACUCUUGAGAUCUGAAUCCAGAACAGUAGAAGAUUAAAGAAGAUAUCAUAGUCCCUUGAGAUCUUUUUGCCAUUUUUCUUCAAGAUGUCUAGAAGUGGUUUCUGAACUUGAUUUCAGAUCUAAAUUUGGUUCUACUUUAUGCAGAACUUUUUUUGGUUCUACUAAAUCACAUGGUUGCUUGUGCUGUCACUGCUGUGGCUCUGGACUGGAAAAGUGCAGGAACUGAUAACCAGCUUAUUUACAUUGCAUUUCUUACCAUAUUAUCUGAGCACUUCACAGCCUCUAUACUUUCAAAAAUUAUGAAAGAUCUAGUUGUACUUUAAUGCCCAUUUAAAAACUAGGGAGCUGAGGUAAUGAUAAACUUGCACUUCUUUACUCCUUCAGUCCCUCAGAGAUGUGCUGCAGCUUUUUUAUUGUGGCUUGUUGAUAAACAGAGCAUUUUUUCCAUUUGUGACUAUCUUCUGUUCUUUGAGCUAUAUGUUUUUAACAAAACAGAUAAAAUGUAUGAGCUAUUUUCUUUGUAAUCCAGAUGAAAUUUAUUGUUUAACCUUAUUGAUAAGAUUAUUAUGGUGACUGGAUACAGGAGACUGAAUUCAUCCGUAGUCCAACUCCACAAGAACCAAAUUUGAGUUAGGUUGGGUGAGUGCGUGUAUCUGUGUGUAUAUAUUUUAUGUAUACAAUCUGUAUAUUUGGGGCCAUAAUGAAAGGCACAUUCUGGGUUACUGUGGUUUCUCUGUAUCCCUGCCAGGCAUACUAAUGCUCCACCUUCUGCAAUCAGAGCAUUUCUCAGGACUCUCAAUAAAGUGGCAUAUUUGUAUGCAAAGUCAUUGAGAGCUGCCAACAUCAUGAUGACAUGAUUCAUCGUUUUUGCUGAUUCUCAAGGCAUUUUUUGCAUAAAGAAGCCUUUGAGAACUGAGCAGAAUCUCAUUCUUCCAUUCAGGACUGGCUGUCAUGGCACUGCAGACAGCUUUUGUGUUCACUAAGCCGAUUUCUUUCACAGGGUAAAGUUCCCAUUGGGGAAAGUGGUUGCCAGGAUACACAUGCCAGCUCCAGCAGGAUGCAACCAUGCUUUGCUUAGGCAGAAAGAGUGCAGGUGAAGGCACUCUUAGUUACACCUGAUAGAUCAUUUUAUGAUCAAGUUCUCCUAAGCCUUAAGAAACAGCUUUUGGCUUUUUUGUUUUGUUUGACCUUUACAAAAAGGAGAGCUCAUAUUAAGCCUAGGACCUUCUUCCAUUGUUAGUGUCCUGAACACUGAAUGUUCACAGAGCUCCAGCAUAUUUAACAAUAGCUCACUGUCUGUUGGCAUUUCCUGUUUACAGCUGGAAUGGAUGUUCUGUGAUGGCCAAGCAGCUUGUCAGUGUGCCUCUGAUUUUUCAUUGGGCAAUUAUUCUUGAAUUAUUCCUUUCCUCAGUUAGGGUGCUUGUUCGCUUUUCAGCGUGUGGGGGAUUUGCUCUAUUAUGUGAAUUUCAGUAGUGCUGAAGACUGGCACACUCACUACCCCCAAAUCCCCUCUUUAAGUUACUAGGGAGACAGCCUAAAUUCUUUUAGCCUGAUCAAUCAAUGUGCUCUUUCCUGGAGAGUCUUUUUUUUUUUUUUUUUUUUUUUUUUUUUUUUUUUUUUUUUUUUUUUUUUUU